Molecule: long non-coding RNA, 218 nt
Filed under: Lathyrus oleraceus (garden pea)
Lineage: Eukaryota; Viridiplantae; Streptophyta; Magnoliopsida; Fabales; Fabaceae
Description: Pisum sativum (pea) long non-coding RNA (PSAT_LNC036965)
Source: RNAcentral
UUUUCUGAAAUUGAUCUGACCAUAUCUUGUCAACCACACAUGGGAAUUGAGUGUUCUUGGACUUUUUGGAAAGGCAAUAACAAGACCUUCAACUUUCAUGUUGGGAAAAUUUUGAUUUGAAGCUUGGUUCAUGAUAUAAUUUUGAGGAGCAAAAACUUUCCAUUUUGGGCAGGUGAGAAUUACAGGUCAUUUCCAUUUUGGGAAACUUUUUGUCUGAC